Molecule: long non-coding RNA, 632 nt
Organism: Sander lucioperca (pikeperch)
Lineage: Eukaryota; Metazoa; Chordata; Actinopteri; Perciformes; Percidae
Exons: 3
Source: RefSeq, a predicted model, not a curated record
AGCAACAGCUGAUCUCUGAAGCUCUGCGGUGAUCAGUCAUGGGUCUGAAGGACUUCUGGAGGAGCUACAAAGUGUUGAUUGUGAUGGUCCCGAGUCUGGGGCUGAUCCACUGGGGCUGGUACAACCUGAAGGCUAACCCACAGCUGCACAAAGCCAGAGAGGAGUACGUUCCUGAGCCCGGCAUCGUCGCCUACGUCUCCCCGCCUCCUGCUGCUGCCGCAAAGAGCAAGUAGCCCAAAAGAGGCGUCGGUAUGAAGCCUGGGAGCUGGCUGCGGAGGAACUGGCUGUGGGCAGCCGGCGGGGCCUUCGUCACCGUCCACCUGGCCACCUGGCUGAUGCAGAGCGCCAUGCGGAGCGCCGUGCGCUCUGAGGCCGCGCUCAAAAACAAAGCUGCCGAGGGAAGACCGGACUGACGUUGACUCGGCUUCUCGUAGCAUCUGUCCAGAGGACGGACAGAAACCAGCGACCAGCACGGCCAUAAACUGUCCCCCUCACUCUAAAUAUUAAAUGGGGAUCAUAUCAUAUUACUGCAGUGGAAAACCUACUCCCACUGUUGGACUUAAUCUAGUUUUCUUCUGUUUAAUUUCACGGUUGGUUGAUGAGUGGGUUGUGGUUUGCUGUGAAUCGAUCAA